Molecule: long non-coding RNA, 3675 nt
Filed under: Mus spretus (western wild mouse)
Lineage: Eukaryota; Metazoa; Chordata; Mammalia; Rodentia; Muridae
Description: predicted gene 29170 (ENSMSPG00010012856.1)
Rfam family: Small nucleolar RNA U109 (bases 1287-1421)
Source: RNAcentral
CGGCCGCGUCUCCGCAGUGAUCUUGGGAGCCACACCACGAGGGGAAGGAGUCCCUCUGCCUGUGCACUGCUGUGUUCUCCGGACUUGGGACUCGGACACUUGAAUUGCCUCGAGCGUCCUCCUUCCCUGUCUCCCUCCCUCAUCAUCUCCUCCGCGCUUCUCUUGUCCUUUCCACUGUCCCUUCCCUGCGGAGCCUCCCUGUCUCCAGUGUGGUCAGGUGCAUCGCUCAGGCUGUCGGUCCUGCGGAGCAGCCGGUCUAGGGCGUGUGUUUCCCCGGGUGGUGUCUGAGGCUCCAGCCGCCCAGAAACUCGAGAUUCUAGUUUCCCAAAAGCAGAACUUUCACCUUUCUUAUGUGGGCACCUCUUCCGGACCUCCACAGAUAACCGUCUACGCGGGUCUGCACGCUACUUCCCGCAAUUCUUUUACUCCCUCCUUUUUUGACUUCCUGUGAAGUUGAGUUUUCUCGAGGUAGUGCUUUUGCUCAGAGACCACAUGCUUAGCUCUGAAUUUCUCUCUGACUUUAUUUCCUUCCGUACUACUCAACCAAUAGGACAGUUUAUCCUUCCUCGUGUUCCCAACGUUUUGGGGGAGUUUUUUUUCCCUCCAUUUUCAUUUUGAUUUUUUCUAAGAUAUUGUUUUUAACUGUUUUGUUCAAAUGUGUACCCAAAAUAUAGCAAACCUUAAUGUAGAUUUUGUGUACUGUACAUGGCUGAAUAUUUCGAGCAUUGCCUAACAUAUGUUCAACUGUACUUCGGGCAUACAGUUACGGAGUUGGAAAUUUUAAUGUGAAUAAUCGGAAUGCUGGUCUGAAGAACUGAGAGUCAAUCUAGAAUAACAUGUUGGUUUACGUUUAAGAGUAUACAGAAAUUGUUUUAACUGUGUAGAUCACAGAGGAGCUGGGCAAAAGGAAGCAUGAUCUAGUGUGGUUACCUAAAGGUAGCUUAUGGAGCAGCCAGCAAAGUAACUAAAAUAUGGUGUAAUGAAUAGGCAGGCAGUGUAGAGAUCUUAGGUAAAAAGGUAAAGCCACGCCAAAUCAGAUACCAUAUUGUAUAGAUUAGAUUGCCUGGAAGUCACUGGGGACUUACUCUGAAAAAGAUGUGGAGAUCAAACAUAAUUAAAAUUAGUUUGUGAUUAACAUUGAUUGUGCUUACAGUGUUUAGAGUUAAGAUAGAAUGAAUGAGAUGACUCUUUUUGAAAAUGGUAAGUUUGUGGGUGAUUGGCUUGACAUUAAGCCCUGGGGUACAGAGAAAGUAGAGUCAGCAGUUAGGUAGUAUUUCAAUCUCAGGCUGCAUGUGGAAAUACCUUCUCCUCAUUCUAUUUGGAGCAGGAAUGCAUCCAGAACAUGCUACACUAAAAGAGGAGUUCUCAGGGCUGCCAACCUUACAGUAGAGGUUGAGUAGUAGUAUAUUUCUCCUACAGAAAGAGAAAAGAAAAUUAGCAGGAGUUGACUGACUGUAGGAAAGAAGAGUCAAAUGUGACUUCAGCUUCUGGCUUGGGUGGAUAAAUAAAGUAUAAUUUGAAGAAUAGACUUGAUAGGAAAGAAAAUUAGAUCAGUUUUGGACAUUACAGAAUUUGAAAUGUUUACAGGUUUUGUGAUAAUUUUUCCUUUCAAAAUCUUUAACUGUCAUUUAAAAAGUUGACGUUCAGAGAUAGUGGCCCAAGUUUAUUUUGAAACUAAUGCAGUCUAGGGCUGGUGGUAUAGCCAGCCUGGUUACCGAAGCCUGAUGACUCCUGGACCAUGGAAGAAGGAGCUGACCCCUUCUGAAAGCCACCCACUCGAUUGUGGCACAUGUACCUUAGUAUUCUCCACUCACAUACACAAUAAAAGAAAGAAAUUAGUGGAGUCCAUAAACUAGCUGCUGUUUUCAGUUUCACAUGUACAGAAAACUUGGAAUUUGAAAAUAGUUUAAAGUUAGACAUUUUAGUAAUAUAAGUGCAUCUGCACAUACUGAGUAAAGCAGUCGUCAGUAACGGAUUGUUAGUAAUGGAUUGUUGGCUCCUAGUGUAGAAGGAUUUUGCACAUUAAAUGAAGGUAAUUUAUAACAUUAGCUGCUUCAAAGGAAAAAAUGCUUUAUUCUAAUUAUUUUCAUUUUUUCCUUGUCCAGUUCUUAUAUUUACAAUAGGGUUUGGAAGUUUAUUUGUCUGAAAGUGAAACAUCUGUUUGUAUUAUGAAUACUAUUGCAAUGUUUUUGAAAUGAACUCACUGUCUAACGUAGCCUUCACUGUGUUGACACAGGUGUAGCAAGAUACAGAUAUCUUUGACAGGAGAGAAGUCUGGAGUAUUUCUUCAUCUGUAAUUACUGCCUCAUGCUUAAAUACGGAUGGGAAUUAAUUGGGUCCUUGAAAUUAAGUCACUUAUGAUCACAUCUAAGGUGUAUUUUACUUUGUUCUGAGGAAAGAAAGAAGAUAAAGCUUGGCUUCACACAAGAAAUGUAGUCUUGGGAAGUACAUACGUAUUGUUUAUAAUUGUAUUCCCCAAAGCAGCACUGAUUCAUUUAAAGGGUAUUAGUCUCUAAUUGAGGGCUCUCAGUCAAGUUCAAACUGUGCAGAUCCUUUGAGAGGUUAGCUGUUUGCUCACAUCACCAGCCACAUAUCAUGUAUGUACACCAUGAUCUUUAUACCAUGGGAUAACUGAGAACAGGGCUGAGGAAAACUUCUGGACUCUUCUUUGUUAGGGAUGCAGAAGCUGGAGUCCUCCCUACUGCUUUUGGUAAACUUGGUGAUGGAAAACUUGUUGAGAUUCCAUCUGUUGGAAGAUAGAGACUCUAGCCGUCAUUUAUAAAAGCACUAGCAAUAUUUUAGGAGAACACCAAAGUAUAUUUCAUAGGGAAGGGGGGGUGUUUCCAGGUAUAUUUUUAAGAAAAUUAUUAUCCUAUAUGGUUAGGAUAAUCAUCCUGAUAUCGCUAUACUCUUGGUUUGGAAUAAGUGAGUUUAUUAAGUACACAGCAAGCUAAAGUAAAAGAAUACAUAGCAAAAGAUGAAGUAGACAAAACAUCAAAUUGUGACUGGGGAGAUGGCUCAGUGGAUAGAGCAUAUAUGCUUCUAACUGCCUCUAACUCUAGCUCCAUGAAAUCCUUUGGGUCUCAAGGACACCUGAACUUACAUGUAUGCACACACAUAAUUUAAAUAUUAAAAAAUAAACACUUAAAAAGAGCAUCACCAUUGGCUGGAGAGUUGCACUGACUGAACUGUUAAAAGCACUGAUUACUCUUCCAUAGGAUAUGGAUUCCAUUCCUAGCACCCACAUGGUAGCUCACAACUGUCUCUAACUCUAGUCCCCAGAGACCAGUGUUCUAUUUUGACCUCUAUAAGCACUACGUAUCCAUGUUGUGCACAUAUAUACAUGCAGAUAAAAUAUUUAUACAUGUAAUUAAAUCUUAAAAUCCAAACCAGGCACUUAAAAUCUAUCAGGUUCUUAAUAGAUCUAGCAGAAAUGCAUUGGGGAAGGAAAUUGUUGGCUGGAGCUCCUCAGAGAGUUUCGGGCAGAGCAGAAUGUCCCCUCCAGUGAACCUUCCAGGUACAGGAACUAAUCACAACAUGCACAGAUCCCAGCAGAAACCGACUGGACAAGUUGAGGCCAAUUUAAUGAUGCUUUGCUGUCUACCUGUAAUUUACUGAUUGUUCAUUUACUUUGAAUUGCUAUAUAUUUAAUAAAAUCACGCAUUCAAAACCAAA